This 34-nucleotide ribosomal RNA is filed under the name Veronica polium. RNAcentral's name for it is "partial 26S ribosomal RNA". The record is from RNAcentral. Lineage: Eukaryota; Viridiplantae; Streptophyta; Magnoliopsida; Lamiales; Plantaginaceae.
CGACCGCGACCCCAGGUCAGGCGGGACUACCCGC